UGGGGAAUAUUGCACAAUGGGGGAAACCCUGAUGCAGCGACGCCGCGUGAGCGAAGAAGUAUUUCGGUAUGUAAAGCUCUAUCAGCAGGGAAGAAACUGACGGUACCUGACUAAGAAGCACCGGCUAAAUACGUGCCAGCAGCCGCGGUAAUACGUAUGGUGCAAGCGUUAUCCGGAUUUACUGGGUGUAAAGGGAGCGUAGACGGAUGGGCAAGUCUGAAGUGAAAGCCCGGGGCUCAACCCCGGGACUGCUUUGGAAACUGUUCAUCUAGAGUGCUGGAGAGGUAAGUGGAAUUCCUAGUGUAGCGGUGAAAUGCGUAGAUAUUAGGAGGAACACCAGUGGCGAAGGCGGCUUACUGGACAGUAACUGACGUUGAGGCUCGAAAGCGUGGGGAGCAAACAGG
RNAcentral lists this ribosomal RNA (404 nucleotides) under uncultured Ruminococcus sp. RNAcentral's name for it is "bacterial SSU rRNA". It matches the Rfam family "Bacterial small subunit ribosomal RNA", at positions 355 to 776 of the family's 1533-position model. The record is from RNAcentral. Lineage: Bacteria; Bacillati; Bacillota; Clostridia; Eubacteriales; Oscillospiraceae.